UCUCUUCGGGUGUGUGCAGCUAGGCAUCUCCAGGCUCCGACCCGGCAAGCAGAGAGAGUUGUCUUCCCUGAUAUCCCGCCCUCGAAAGGCGGCGGAGGCCUCCGGUAUCCCGCCUGGGGCUGGUGGUGGUGGGAACGGGAGCAGAGCGGUCUCGGCCCCACGCAGCCCGCAUUCCAGCAGAGUGUACACCGAGUCUGAACAGACACUGCAAACCAGGAAUGCUCUGUGCAUCCAUUUUGCCUGUGGGCGUCCCGAUGUGAGUGCCAGAGCAGCCCGCGCACUCUUGGCUGCGAUUCUGGAGCCCGGCAGGGUAGGAAACAGUGAAAGCUGGUGGGAUGCGGAUUGUGCAGAAACACCCACACAACUCAGAUGCCAAAGAGGAAAAAGAUAAGGAUGUCCAAGACAGGGAAACCAGCAGCUUUUAUUGCUGAGCAGAUGGUAUGGAAUAUUCCCUUGGUCAGUUGGGGUCAGCUGUCCUGGCUGUGUCCCCUCCCAAGAUCAUGUCUACCCACUGCUUGCAGGUCCCUUGGGCUAUUGUGUCAGUGGAAGCAGCCCUGAAGGAGUGAACUGGUACUCUGUAAAAGCAUCUGUCUUCUAUAUAUCCUCUUCUUGGACAGAAUUCAAAUUUCUCCCACCGUAUUUCUAUCUACCUUUAUUUUCCCCUCUUUCUGUGGCCUGAUUCUGUUACCUCUGUGAUUACCUCUGUGAACUGAUAUGGUUGCACAAAAGAGGUUAUGUUCAUAGAUUGUAUUGUCAUUUUACACUUGACCAUGUAAAAAAUGAAAUUUGAUUAAAUGUAUGGAUAUAAUGGA
This is a non-coding RNA of Cyanistes caeruleus (blue tit), 812 nucleotides long. Lineage: Eukaryota; Metazoa; Chordata; Aves; Passeriformes; Paridae. The record is from RefSeq and is a predicted model, not a curated record.